CAGCAGCCGGGUAAUACGGAGGGUGCAAGCGUUAUUCGGAUUUAUUGGGCGUAAAGGGCGUGUAGGUGGUCUGAUAAGUCAGGUGUGAAAGCCCCUGGCUCAACCAGGGAAGUGCAUUUGAAACUAUCAGACUUGAGUACGGGAGGGGGAAGUGGAAUUCCUGGUGUAGAGGUGAAAUUCGUAGAUAUCAGGAGGAAUACCGGUGGCGAAGGCGACUUCCUGGACCGAUACUGACACUGAGACGCGAAAGCGUGGGGAGCAAACAGGAUUAGAUACCCUGGUAGUCCACGCCGUAAACGAUGGGCACUAGGUGUAGCGGGUAUUGACCCCUGCUGUGCCGAAGCUAACGCAUUAAGUGCCCCGCCUGGGGAGUACGACCGCAAGGUUAAAACUCAAAGGAAUUGACGG
Molecule: ribosomal RNA, 408 nt
Filed under: uncultured bacterium
Lineage: Bacteria
Description: bacterial SSU rRNA
Rfam family: Bacterial small subunit ribosomal RNA
Source: RNAcentral